GGCUUCCACAGGUUUUCCUUAGCUUAUUACUCCCGCUUUUUUGGGCUUUCUGUGUUUUUUUUUUUUUAUUCUUUUAACUCUAUUUAUAGAACACAUGGUAUAAAACACCAUUUUAAAAAUAUAUUUAAAACCUUUAGUGCAUCUGUUAAAUAAUAAAUAACACAUUCAAAAAAGAUCUUUUAAAAUUAGCAUUUAUGUAAGGAGGUACAGCAGAACAGAUGUCAAGAAUGUAUAAAUUUUAUUAUUGUUAUGAUUAUUAUGAUUAUGAUGAUGAUUAUUAUUAUUACUAUCUUUCACAUCUUUUUUGCACUUGCUUUUAGUAUUUUAUUGCUGUGCCUAGUUAACUCUCAGGACUUUACCUGCUACUUACAUUCCUAAGUGCCUUUUCCAUCUUUAACUCUUCCUUUCUGACUGCAAAGGAAACAAUAACUUUCUCUGGGGUCACUUGAAUUUAUUCACAUAUUCUAAUUAGAAAUAAAAUCCCUGAAUGGAGCAUCUGUAGUACAAGACAAUCUUGUUUUUGUAAGUUGAGAGUACUAGGAAGUAAGGAUUGUCUGUAGGUUCAUUAAAAUUAUUAUGCAUUCAAAUAACAAAAUAGUAUGUCCAUUAAAAAAAAAACCCACUAAGCUAAUACUCAUAUCUUUUCUGAAAGAUCUGUGACAUUUAAGUUAACUGUGUGCAACUUGCGGCAUCACACAUGAUUUUAACAAUAUUUUCUGACCUAAGCAAUUAACAGUUUAUCAAUAAAGGUCAUUGUUGAUGAGCUUCACCUGACUCUGAAAUUCUAUAUUACUGCUCAUACAGAUUACUUGGGGUAAAAAUAAAAAUAGGCUUGCAGAUGAAAUGGAAAAGUUUUAACAAAUGGUGCGAACAACAUCACUCAUCUGUAGUAAAUCAUUAAAAAUUCUAAACAAACAUGAAAUGGAUAGGAAAUCAAUUUUAUCAAGGUGUCUUUUAAAAUUAGAUGAAAAGUUGGUGGAGUCAAUGCAUCUUUCCUGACUCUAAAUGUUUGAUGUUUAAGACUUUUUAUUCUGGGAACUUAAGACUAUUUCUUCUGGAUUUCAGAAAACAGAAAGAAAACCAUUCAUAUGGUCUCAUGAUAAAAGAAACAACGCAUCCUGGAUUGCCAAGAUAUAAUUUCCUAAUUUAAAGGAUUGCAUUGAUCAAUACUUUGUCUUUAGUAAUGGAUGAAAGCAAUAAGUACCAAUGCAUACGAUCUGUGGCCAGUGAUUUUAAGAUAAUAUAAUUGUUAGGAAAUUAAAGUGACCAUUAAGAGAGAAUGUUUCCUGAAGGGAGUGUCAAGAGUUUGUCAACUCAUGUAUGAGCACUUGUAGAAAAGAAGGAAGGAAGGAAGGAAGGCAAAGACAAUGGCAAAUUUAAAAACUUCCAAUAAAUAUGUCGAACAUAGUCAUAACUUAUUAAUGAAAAUAUAAAGGGUUGUUCCAUGUGAAAAGGAAAGGUUAGUAAUAAUAAAGAUAAAUAUGGUCAUUAUAAUAUCUGGGGAAAUAAAACACACAUUCUCAUUUAUUGCGUGUGUAAGUCAGAGCAUUGCAGAAUUUUGCUGUAAUUGAACAGGCGUGUGAAAUGGAUACCAAAUCCAAAACAAAAAUUACAAGCUCCUAUAGUAUAUACAAAGAAGACAACUAUAUGCUUUAUUUUCUCCAGGGGAUAUGAAAGUCAACCCGAAGUAAUUCCUGUGUUUGAAGCAGGCCUUUGUAAGGGACUCAGCACUAUAUAUUGUCCUGGUGCUCCCUGGGAGGGGAGCAGUGUGAGGCUGGGGCAGCCACAGCUCUUUAUUCCCUCCAAACCAGUUUCUGUGCUGCUAAUUAGAAUUGGAUAUUGGUGGUCCUGGAAGUGUGGGAGACCAUCAAUGUUACUUUGUGUUACAUUUUAAUCACACAAGUUAGGACAUUCAGAAUUAUGGUUUCCAUGGUAACCACAACACUGAGCCCUGUGUGAAGGCAUUACAGUGAGGGUCUUUGAUUAAGAGAAAGUAAACCAGGAUUGAAACAAAAUGCUCCAUAUGUGUAGCUAAAGUUACCAAAGGGGGCAGGAGAAGGAGGAAAGAAAAAAGAAAAAGUACAGUUCCCUUUGCCUUUAAUUAUAUUUGCUUAAUGGUAGGUCUCGUGUUCAUGCAACACACUGAACAGUCUGUUAGAAUUCUCACGGGCAUGCUCUGUUUUCAUUGGAUUUUAAUGAUUAUUUUUCUAGCACCUUCUGAUUCCUUAAAAUUUAUCCUAUUUAUAUACACAUUUUCAUCUUAAAGUAACCGAUGAUGCCGAUGUUUGGGACCUUCUAACUGGUCCUGUGGAAGGAGGAGAGGUUUUUGUUUCUCCUCCUGAGAAGUGUUUCCUUUGAAAUGUGGUGAAGAAGAAUUUCAAUACCAGGUGCUUUGCCUACGACCGUUCAGUGGAAUCAUGGCGUUAUGAUAGUUCUCCCUAGUUCCGUUUUCUUCUAUGUGUGUAGUCGUCAGCAUGAGAAAAGUUCUAAUCCAAAACAGAAAGUAAGCAGUUCAAAAUGUAUUCAGUAUUAAACAUGGACAAUAUGAUAAAUAAGACCAAUGGAGUCACUAGUCACAGAACUCCAA
Molecule: long non-coding RNA, 2587 nt
Filed under: Mus musculus (house mouse)
Lineage: Eukaryota; Metazoa; Chordata; Mammalia; Rodentia; Muridae
Description: long non-coding RNA chr5:81216932-81219519
Source: RNAcentral